This 1978-nucleotide ribosomal RNA is filed under the name human gut metagenome. RNAcentral describes it as "bacterial LSU rRNA". It matches the Rfam family "Bacterial large subunit ribosomal RNA", at positions 3 to 1980 of the family's 2925-position model. The record is from RNAcentral.
UCAAGCUAAUAAGAGCACAGGGUGGAUGCCCAGGCACCAAACGCCGAAGAAAGACGUGGCAAGCUGCGAAAAGUCACGGGGAACCGCAAGCAGGUAUUGAUCCGUGAACGUCUGAAUGGGGAAACCCGGCGGGUUAACAGCCCGUCACUAUUAACUGAAUCAAUAGGUUAAUAGGGGGAACGCGGGGAACUGAAACAUCUCAGUACCCGUAGGAAGAGAAAAUAAAGAAUGAUUUCCUAAGUAGCGGCGAGCGAACGGGAAAGAGGCCAAACCGAAGGGCUUGCUCUUCGGGGUUGUGGAUCAGCAAAAAGGACGAGAGACCUUAGCAGAAGAGGAUUGGAAAGUCCCGCCAGAGAGGGUAAAAGCCCCUUACGCGAAAAGGUCAAACGACGAGCUGACACCAGAGUACCGCAGGACACGAGAAAUCCGGUGGGAAGCCGGGAGGACCACCUCCCAAGCCUAAAUACGAAUUGGUGACCGAUAGCGCAUAGUACCGUGAGGGAAAGGUGAAAAGAACCCCGGGAGGGGAGUGAAAGAGAACCUGAAACCGUAUGUCUACAAGCAGUCGGAGCGAAAGCGACGGCGUGCCUAUUGAAGAAUGAACCAACGAGUUACGUGCACUAGCGAGGUUAAGUGGAAGACACGGAGCCGAAGCGAAAGCGAGUCUUAAGAGGGCGGAUAGUUAGUGUACGUAGACCCGAAACCGCAGUGAUCUACCCAUGUCCAGGUUGAAGCGCAGGUAAAAUUGCGUGGAGGACCGAACCUGUGAGCGUUGAAAAGCUUUAGGAUGAGAUGUGGGUAGAGGUGAAAUUCCAAUCGAACGCGGAGAUAGCUGGUUCUCCCCGAAAUAGCUUUAGGGCUAGCCUCAAGUAGUAAGUAUAGGCGGUAGAGCACUGAUCGGGCUAGGGGCCAUAAAGGUUACCGAACCCUGUCAAACUCCGAAUGGUUAUACUGUAGAGCUUGGGAGUCAGACUACGAGUGAUAAGAUCCGUGGUCAAAAGGGAAACAGCCCAGACCACCAGCUAAGGUCCCCAAUGUCGUACUAAGUGGAAAAGGAUGUGGGGUCUCUAAAACAACCAGGAUGUUGGCUUAGAAGCAGCCACCAUUUAAAGAGUGCGUAAUAGCUCACUGGUCGAGAGACCCUGCGCCGAAGAUUACCGGGGCUAAAGUACGAAACCGAAGCUGUGGCUACGACAUAUGUCGUGGGGUAGGGGAGCGUUCUGUGAGGGCUGAAGUCGUUCUGUAAGGAACGGUGGACUUCACAGAAGUGAGAAUGUUGGUAUGAGUAGCGAAAAGAAUGGUGAGAAUCCAUUCCACCGAAAGCAUAAGGAUUCCUGGGCAACGAUCGUCGUCCCAGGGUAAGUCGGGACCUAAUCCGAGGCAUGGAGCGUAGGAGAUGGACAACUGGCAGAUAUUCCAGUACCGGUAAUGAUUGUUUGAGCGAUGGAGUGACACAGGAGGGCAGGCAGGCAGGAGAUUGGUUGUUCCUGUACAAGCGUGUAGGAUGGGACGCAGGCAAAUCCGCGUCCUGUGAGUCUGAGGCGUGAUGUGGAGGUUCCGGAAACGGAACUGAAGCUGCUGACCCCACACUGUCGAGAAAAGCUUCUAGUUAGAGAAUUACCGCCCGUACCGUAAACCGACACAGGUAUGCGGGGAGAGAAUCCUAAGGUGCGCGGGAGAACCCUCGUUAAGGAACUCGGCAAAAUGUACCCGUAACUUCGGGAUAAGGGUAGCCGCUGUUGUGAAGUCUGAACAGACGGAGCAUGAGGCGGUCGCAGAGAAGAGGCCCAAGCGACUGUUUACCACAAACACAGGUGCCUGCUAAAGAGAAAUCUGACGUAUAGGUGCUGACACCUGCCCAGUGCCGGAAGGUUAAGGAAGGAUGUCCGGAGCAAUCCAAAGCAUUCGACCGAAGCCCCGGUGAACGGCGGCCGUAACUAUAACGGUCCUAAGGUAGCGAAAUUCCUUGUCGGGUAAG